Molecule: ribosomal RNA, 253 nt
Filed under: uncultured bacterium
Lineage: Bacteria
Description: partial 16S ribosomal RNA
Rfam family: Bacterial small subunit ribosomal RNA
Source: RNAcentral
UACGAACUGUGCAAACGUUAUUCGGAAUCACUGGGCUUAAAGGGUGCGUAGGCGGCCAUUUAAGUAGGGUGUGAAAGCCCCCGGCUCAACCGGGGAACUGCGCCCUAAACUGGAUGGCUCGAGUGAGAUAGAGGUGUGUGGAACUUCCGGUGGAGCGGUGAAAUGUGUUGAUAUCGGAAGGAACGCCGGUGGCGAAAGCGACACACUGGGUCUCAACUGACGCUGAGGCACGAAAGCCAGGGGAGCGAACGGG